ACCAAUGAGACCAUUCUUUUUAGCACUGGUAGUGUUUAGUAAUUGCAGAUAUGUAUUACUAUCACGGGAAAAACAUUGCAUUGCUAAUUUCCAGAAAGCUUUUCACAUGAAUGUUUGGAACACACUCCAUCUUGUGAAGCCAGCUUUUCCGACACCUCGUGAAUGCAGCAUCAAUUAAACUAUUCUGGCAUUUUAGACUCAGUGCAACAACAAAGUUUAUGGAUUAUCAAAGAAACUGAAAACGUCCCAGCGGAUACUUACAGGUGUUGAAUCUAACAGCUGAGGUUGCUGAAAGGUAUAAAGGAUUAAUUAAAAGAAAAAAACACCAACACCGAGGACAAUAUUUACUUUCUGUCUGACAUCUGCUGCCGCGCGAGAUUGAAAGCAUCAGAGAAUGGUCUACCGGAUUGUGGUCAAGGAUGAAAAGGGGAUAGAUCGGACGAUGGACCUCGGUGACACAGAGCUGGAGAUGCAGAGAAUAACUGUGGGUCAGCUGAAGACAAGGAUAUCGAAGGUCUGUGGAAUCCCAGAAGACCAGCAGCGAUUGAUCUUUAAAGGCAGAGAGCUGGAAGGCAACACGAAACCGCUGUUUGAAUAUGGGAUCCAGCACAUGUCCUGCAUACAGAUGACUUUAAGACUACGUGGUGGAGCGAUGUCUCCUCUGCAUGACAGAGGACUGGGUGAUAAGGAGGGUGAAACUCGAAGAAGUAAAGAAUGUUUGAUGCCUGAUGUUUGAAUUUCCAAAUACAUUUUUGUGGUUGUAUGGUGGAUCUUUUUACGCAACAUAACGCCUGUAUUAACUGGAACCGCAUCCCUCCCCUUCCUCAUUUAGACAUGAAAGAUAUUUCACACUUCCUGUUACAUACUAUACAUACUUUAUCAAAACUGCCAUUAUAUGUUCAAAUGUAGACGUGCAAUUAUAUGCAGAUGACUCAGUAUUAUAUGUUCACGCCAGAACAAAGAAAGAAUGGUACCAGGUUCUGACUGCAGACAGAAUUAAUGUUUACAUCUCAACACAAAGAAAACUGUCUGCAUGUUUUGCCCCACCAGCCAACAGAAGGGAAGGAACCAAGUAUUAUUGAUAAUGGAGAGAUACUUGAAAUGGAUGAAAUAUGUAAAUGUCUUGGAAUAUUUUUUUAAGAAUCAAGUGUUUUGUAUUAAUAAGCCAUCAAUCUAAACAAAGGAAAUUUGCUAAAAUGUAGCAAGUCUUAGGGACCUUCUGGUGAGGGCGUUCUCCUGGGCAGUGAGGACACCAACUCAUCCCUCCCUGUACGUCCUGCGAGCGCUGAAUCCCUGGUGCUUCAGGUGUCUGAAGACAAGGGGACUGGUGUAAAAGCUGUCAGUGUAUACAAUACACCCAGAGCCCAAGUAGUCUUUGUUGACUAACGAGUUUACAACACCAACAGGCAACCCCUUCCCUGGCGGCGUUUUAGAUUUGCCAGCGUACAGCUGGAAAUCAGCGGUGUAUCCGUUUACAUCUGCCAACACAAAAAAUGUCAUACUCCACUUUGUUGGCUUGGAUUUUAUGUAUCGUUUGAUACCAAGUCUGGCCUUGGUCACGAUUCACUGGCUUCCCACAGUGGCGGACGAGAAACUCCCGCAACAAAACUAUACAGAUUUGAAAGCGUAAAUUGUUUUCUUUCAAACACCGUUUGACUUUUUCUGAUGUCGAAAACUGUUGCGACAUUACAGUAAGACAAAGUUAUGGAUGUGAAAAUGUGUCGAUGACGCGUUCAGUGUUAAAGGGUCAUUUUCAUUUAAAUCUUCAUUUAACCGUCAGUUCCAGCCUUCUCAAAAUAGACUGAGAUGUGAUCAAAGCAGAAAAGAGGCAUUUGGAGGUAAAAUUUAUAACGAUGCGA
Molecule: long non-coding RNA, 1859 nt
Organism: Gambusia affinis (western mosquitofish)
Lineage: Eukaryota; Metazoa; Chordata; Actinopteri; Cyprinodontiformes; Poeciliidae
Exons: 3
Source: RefSeq, a predicted model, not a curated record